Molecule: long non-coding RNA, 216 nt
Filed under: Olea europaea (common olive)
Lineage: Eukaryota; Viridiplantae; Streptophyta; Magnoliopsida; Lamiales; Oleaceae
Description: long non-coding RNA (OEUR_LNC002225)
Source: RNAcentral
ACUAAAGGAUUGAAGCUUGGGUCAAGUACUAGAAUGGGCUUCUCAAAAAGGACUUCAAAUAAAAAUGGGCCAAAAAGGUCAAAAGAAGUGGAUGAAGAAAUUAAAUGUUCUCACUGUGGAAAUACCAAGCAUACACGUGAGAAUUGUUUAAAACUAAAUGGUUAUCCUGAUUAGUGACAUGACUUGUAAUAAAAUAAGAACAAGGAUGGGAUAGGC